RNAcentral lists this ribosomal RNA (404 nucleotides) under uncultured Eubacteriales bacterium. RNAcentral describes it as "bacterial SSU rRNA". It matches the Rfam family "Bacterial small subunit ribosomal RNA", at positions 356 to 774 of the family's 1533-position model. Lineage: Bacteria; Bacillati; Bacillota; Clostridia; Eubacteriales. The record is from RNAcentral.
GGGGAAUAUUGGGCAAUGGGGGAAACCCUGACCCAGCGACGUCGCGUGAGGGAAGAAGGUCUUCGGAUUGUAAACCUUUGUCAACAGGGAAGAAGCAAGUGACGGUACCUGAAGAGGAAGCCACGGCUAACUACGUGCCAGCAGCCGCGGUAAUACGUAGGUGGCGAGCGUUAUCCGGAAUUACUGGGUGUAAAGGGUGUGUAGGCGGGGAUGCAAGUCAGAUGUGAAAUCCAUGGGCUCAACCUAUGGUGUGCAUUUGAAACUGAAAGACUUGAGUAUUGGAGAGGCAAGUGGAAUUCCUAGUGUAGCGGUGAAAUGCGUAGAUAUUAGGAGGAACACCGGUGGCGAAGGCGGCUUGCUGGACAAAUACUGACGCUGAGGUGCGAAAGCGUGGGGAGCAAACA